RNAcentral lists this long non-coding RNA (1174 nucleotides) under Capra hircus (goat). Its description in RNAcentral is "lncRNA (ENSCHIG00010007743.1)". Lineage: Eukaryota; Metazoa; Chordata; Mammalia; Artiodactyla; Bovidae. The record is from RNAcentral.
UUUUGAGAACCUGCAUCCGGCAGCCUUAUCACUUUGAAGGGAAGUCACAAUCACUAAUGGAAUCUGCUAGCUUUUCACACACUGAAAUUAGCUUUGAUUCUUCCCCCAAACAUAUGUUGAAAAGCAACAUGCGCAUACACUACACUGACCCAUCAAAGCAACAAUCAGGGCUGUGGAGGAAGUUUGUGGACUCACCUGCUGGGGUUGGGAGAGAGAAAUAUAUUUCUUUCAGGAGUGGAAACAAUUUCUGAGCCCUCUUCUGGCCCCAGAGAAUGGAGAGCCUCCUCCUUCCCUUCCUAUGGAGAAAGAGAAAGUAAAUGCCAUUUUCCUUUGCAACUGUGAAUAAUAACAUUUAUGCUCUGAGAUCGGGUUUGCUUCUUUAAUAUGAAAAACGAUAUCCUGUUUGGAUGAGACAUUUCCUUGAAUGCUUAGCAUAAAUUGAGCCCUUAAGCUUUUAACAAGAAAUUCUGGACUGUCUUGCCUGAAAACUCAGAGUGGAUCUUGGAAACACUGCAGGUUUCUUGAUUUGUGAAAACUAGCCUCUUCCAUGAGAUUACUAACAGCCCUCUGCGUUUGAUAUUCAGGAGAAGCCAUCUGAAAUAAUCCUUGUUUGGUUAUCUUUUUUUUCUCUCUCUGUCUUUGUCUCAUUGUCUCUUUCUGAGUCUAGUGUUCUCUCAUCCCUUUCUGUCUUUCUCUCUCUUCCUACUUUCUCUGUCUNNNNNNNNNNNNNNCAUACACUUCUUUUCUUCCCCCCGCCCCUGAUUUUUUUUUUUUAAAUCACACUUUCAAAUAACACGGACCCAGUGAAGGUAUUACAAAGCUGAGAGGUAAGUAUGCGGGAGCAGGAACUGCAUUUUUCGUCACUCACAGUGACAAUUAAAAUGACAACAACAAGGCCAGGCUCUUCCAUCAUUGUUUUUUAAUGCUGUCAGCACCAACUUUGCCAGAAUUAUCCUGUCUGAUGCAUGAGUGGACUUUGUCAUUUUUCACAUUGUGCCACCCAGAGCCAGAAUAUCAUUUAAGAGAGUAAAUUAGCUUCCAUCUCAUUUAAAGGAGCCCUGUAAAAACCCUUCUCAGCAACAUGCUUCCCUAGCCAGAGAAGGUUAAUUUGGUGGGCUGGGAGGUGUUUUUGGAUGUAAAAUCUCUGUCUCUUUGUGGCAUGGAUGAUGGUUUG